GUGCAACAAAAAAUCAAUACCCUUCAUCUAGAAGCCAUGAUCAGUUUACAGCAGUGUCAUCUACUGGACCUAAUAUUCAGUCUACCAAAUUCCAUGAACAACACUUUCCACAACAUUCCAGUGCUACAAAAACUCAACAACCUUCAUCAGGGAGCCAUGAUCAGUUUACACCAGUGUCAUCUACUGGACCUAAUAUUCAGCACCCUUCUACCAAAUUCCAUGACCAACACUUGCCGCAGCAAUCCAGUGCUACAAAACCUCAAUACCCUUCAUCCGGAACCCAUGAUCAGUUUACACCAGUGUCAUCUACUGGACCUAAUAUUCAGUACCCUUCCACCUUCCAUGACCAACACUUGCCGCAGCAAUCCAGUGCUACAAAACCUCAAUUCCCUUCAUCCGGAACCCAUGAUCAGUUUACACCAGUGUCAUCUACUGGACCUAAUAUUCAGCACCCUUCCACCUUCCAUGACCAACACUUACCACAACAAUUCAGUUCUACAAAACCUCAAUUCCCCUCAUCCGGAACCCAUGAUCAGUUUACACCAGUGUCAUCUACUGGACCUAAUAUUCAGCACCCUUCUACUAAAAUCCAUGACCAACACUUACCACAACAAUUCAGUGCUACAAAAUCUCAAUACCCUUCAUCUGGAAACCAUGAUCAGUUUACACCAGUUUCAUCUACUGGACCUAAUAUUCAGCACCCUUUGACCAAAAUCCAUGACCAACACUUGCCUCAACAAUCCAGUGCUACAAAAACUCAGUACCCUUCAUCUGGAACUCAUGAUCUGUUUACACCAGUGUCAUCUACUGAACCUAAUUUUCAGCACCCUUCUACCAAAAUCCAUGGCCAACACUUGCCUCACCAGUCUACUGCAACAAAAACUCAAUCCCCUCCAUCCAGAAGCACUGAUCGGUUCGCAUCAGAGUUAUCUACUGAACCCACACUUCGGCCCCCUUAUACCAAAAUCCAUGACCAACACUUGCCACAGCAAUCUAAUGAAACAAGAC
RNAcentral lists this long non-coding RNA (1008 nucleotides) under Phaseolus vulgaris (common bean). Its description in RNAcentral is "long non-coding RNA (PVUL_LNC003638)". Lineage: Eukaryota; Viridiplantae; Streptophyta; Magnoliopsida; Fabales; Fabaceae. The record is from RNAcentral.